GCAUCGGAACGUGCCCAGAAGUGGGGGAGUAGCCCGGCGAAAGACCGGAUUAAUACCGCAUGAGACCUGAGGGUGAAAGCGGGGGAGUCGCAAGACCUCGCGCUUUUGGAGCGGCCGAUGUCAGAUUAGCUAGUUGGUGGGGUAAAAGCCUACCAAGGCGACGAUCUGUAGCUGGUCUGAGAGGACGACCAGCCACACUGGGACUGAGACACGGCCCAGACUCCUACGGGAGGCAGCAGUGGGGAAUUUUGGACAAUGGGCGCAAGCCUGAUCCAGCCAUGCCGCGUGCGGGAAGAAGGC
Molecule: ribosomal RNA, 300 nt
Filed under: uncultured Comamonadaceae bacterium
Lineage: Bacteria; Pseudomonadati; Pseudomonadota; Betaproteobacteria; Burkholderiales; Comamonadaceae
Description: bacterial SSU rRNA
Rfam family: Bacterial small subunit ribosomal RNA
Source: RNAcentral